CAUGCAUGUAUAAGUAUAAACGCUUUAAGCGUGAAACUGCGUACGGCUCAUUACAACAGCAAUAAUUUACUUGAUCUUGACAACCUACAUGGAUAACUGUGGUAAUUCUAGAGCUAAUACAUGCACCAAAGCUCCGACCCGCGAGGGGAGAGCGCAUUUAUUAGAACAAAACCAAGCGGCUUCGGCCGUCCAUUGUUGACCCAGAAUAACUAAGCUGAUCGUACGGUCUUGUACCGACGACGUGUCUUUCAAGUUUCUGCCUUAUCAACUUUCGAUGGUAGUGUAUCUGACUACCAUGGUGGUGACGGGUAACGGAGGAUAAGGGUUCGACUCCCGAGAAGGGGCCUGAGAAAUGGCCACUACGUCUAAGGAUGGCAGCAGGCGCGCAAAUUACCCACUCUCAAUGCGAGGAGGUAGUGACGAGAAAUAACGAGGCCGUUCUCUUUGAGGCCGGUCAUCGGAAUGGGUACAAUUUAAACCCUUUAACGAGUAUCUAUGAGAGGGCAAGUCUGGUGCCAGCAGCCGCGGUAAUUCCAGCUCUCAAAAUGCAUAGAAUUAUUGCUGCGGUUAAAAAGCUCGUAGUUGGAUCUGUGCCUGUGCUCUGGUCCACCUCGCGGUGCGCACUGGGUGUCACAGGCUUUCCUGCAGUGUUCAGCCCCGGCGCCUUCACCGGCACCGGUGUGUUGAUGCUGCAAGUUUACUUUGAACAAAUCGGAGUGCUCCAAACAGGCGUUUGCUUGAACGUUCGUGCAUGGAAUAAUAGAAGAGGAUUUCGGUUCAAUUUUAUUGGUUUUAUUGGCCGAGAUAAUGGUUAACAGAGACAAACGGGGGCAUUUGUAUUGCUG
RNAcentral lists this ribosomal RNA (845 nucleotides) under Pratylenchus thornei. RNAcentral's name for it is "SSU rRNA". It matches the Rfam family "Eukaryotic small subunit ribosomal RNA", at positions 50 to 902 of the family's 1831-position model. Lineage: Eukaryota; Metazoa; Nematoda; Chromadorea; Rhabditida; Pratylenchidae. The record is from RNAcentral.